UACGUAUGGGGCAAGCGUUAUCCGGAUUUACUGGGUGUAAAGGGUGCGUAGGUGGCAAGGCAAGUCAGAAGUGAAAGCUCGGGGCUCAACCUCGGAACUGCUUUUGAAACUGCCAGGCUAGAGUGCAGGAGAGGUAAGUGGAAUUCCUAGUGUAGCGGUGAAAUGCGUAGAUAUUAGGAGGAACACCAGCGGCGAAGGCGGCUUACUGGACUGUAACUGACACUGAGGCACGAAAGCGUGGGGAG
This 245-nucleotide ribosomal RNA is filed under the name uncultured Lachnospiraceae bacterium. RNAcentral's name for it is "partial 16S ribosomal RNA". It matches the Rfam family "Bacterial small subunit ribosomal RNA", at positions 524 to 768 of the family's 1533-position model. The record is from RNAcentral. Lineage: Bacteria; Bacillati; Bacillota; Clostridia; Lachnospirales; Lachnospiraceae.